GAUGAACGCUGGCGGCGUGCCUAAUACAUGCAAGUCGAGCGAACAGACGAGGAGCUUGCUCCUCUGACGUUAGCGGCGGACGGGUGAGUAACACGUGGAUAACCUACCUAUAAGACUGGGAUAACUUCGGGAAACCGGAGCUAAUACCGUAUAACAUGUUGAACCGCAUGGUUCAACAGUGAAAGACGGUCUUGCUGUCACUUAUAGAUGGAUCCGCGCCGCAUUAGCUAGUUGGUAAGGUAACGGCUUACCAAGGCAACGAUGCGUAGCCGACCUGAGAGGGUGAUCCGCCACACCGGAACUGAGACACGGUCCCGACUCCUACGGGAGGCAGCAGUAGGGAAUCUUCCGCAAUGGGCGAAAGCCUUACGGAGCAACGCCGCGUGAGUGAAGAAGGUCUUCCGAUCGUAAAACUCUGUUAUUAGGGAAGAACAAAUGUGUAAGUAACUAUGCACGUCUUGACGGUACCUAAUCAGAAAGCCACGGCUAACUACGUG
RNAcentral lists this ribosomal RNA (497 nucleotides) under uncultured bacterium. RNAcentral describes it as "partial 16S ribosomal RNA". It matches the Rfam family "Bacterial small subunit ribosomal RNA", at positions 28 to 507 of the family's 1533-position model. The record is from RNAcentral.